CGAUACUUGGUGUGAAUUGCAGAAUCCCGUGAACCAUCGAGUCUUUGAACGCAAGUUGCGCCCGAAGCCUUAGGCCGAGGGCACGUCUGCCUGGGCGUCUCGCAUCGCGUCGCCCCCCCUCCUCGCUCGCCCCGUGCGAGCGGGCGCGGGGGGCGGAUAAUGGCCUCCCGUGCGCUACCGCGUGCGGCCGGCCCAAAUGCGAACCCGCGGCGAUGCACGUCACGACCAGUGGUGGUUGGAAUCUCAACUCGCGUGCUGUCGUGCGAUACGGCAUCGUCCUCGGGGACCAUUAACGACCCAAAGGCGCUCGCGUGCGUUCUUGCUGCGCGCGCCACAGCGCUUCCGACCGCGACCCCAGGUCAGGCGGGAUUACCCG
Molecule: ribosomal RNA, 376 nt
Filed under: Markhamia platycalyx
Lineage: Eukaryota; Viridiplantae; Streptophyta; Magnoliopsida; Lamiales; Bignoniaceae
Description: eukaryotic LSU rRNA
Rfam family: 5.8S ribosomal RNA (bases 1-100)
Source: RNAcentral